RNAcentral lists this ribosomal RNA (447 nucleotides) under uncultured bacterium. RNAcentral describes it as "partial 16S ribosomal RNA". It matches the Rfam family "Bacterial small subunit ribosomal RNA", at positions 329 to 792 of the family's 1533-position model. The record is from RNAcentral.
GUCCAGACUCCUACGGGAGGCAGCAGUGGGGGAUAUUGCACAAUGGGGGGAACCCUGAUGCAGCGACGCCGCGUGGGUGAAGGAGUAUUUCGGUAUGUAAAGCCCUAUCGGCAGGGAAGAAGCAAGACGGUACCUGACUAAGAAGCCCCGGCUAACUACGUGCCAGCAGCCACGGUAAUACGUAGGGGGCGAGCGUUAUCCGGAUUUACUGGGUGUAAAGGGAGCGUAGACGGUUAAUCAAGUCUGAAGUGAAAGCCCGCGGCUCAACCCCGGGACUGCUCUUGGAACUGCGCGGCUGGAGUGCAGGAGGGGCAGGCGGAAUUCCUGGUGUAGCGGUGAAAUGCGUAGAUAUCAGGAGGAACACCGGUGGCGAAGGCGGCCUGCUGGACUGCGACUGACGUUGAGGCCCGAAAGCGUGGGGAGCAAACAGGAUUAGAUACCCCAGUA